RNAcentral lists this ribosomal RNA (492 nucleotides) under uncultured bacterium. Its description in RNAcentral is "partial 16S ribosomal RNA". It matches the Rfam family "Bacterial small subunit ribosomal RNA", at positions 29 to 507 of the family's 1533-position model. The record is from RNAcentral.
AGUGAACGCUGGCGGUAGGCCUAACACAUGCAAGUCGAACGGCAGCACAGAAAGAGCUUGCUCUUACGGGUGGCGAGUGGCGGACGGGUGAGGAAUACAUCGGAAUCUACUUUAUCGUGGGGGAUAACGUAGGGAAACUUACGCUAAUACCGCAUACGACCUACGGGUGAAAGCAGGGGAUCUUCGGACCUUGCGCGAUUGAAUGAGCCGAUGUCGGAUUAGCUAGUUGGCGGGGUAAAGGCCCACCAAGGCGACGAUCCGUAGCUGGUCUGAGAGGAUGAUCAGCCACACUGGAACUGAGACACGGUCCAGACUCCUACGGGAGGCAGCAGUGGGGAAUAUUGGACAAUGGGCGCAAGCCUGAUCCAGCCAUACCGCGUGGGUGAAGAAGGCCUUCGGGUUGUAAAGCCCUUUUGUUGGGAAAGAAAAGCAGCAGGUUAAUACCCCGCUGUUCUGACGGUACCCAAAGAAUAAGCACCGGCUAACUUCGUG